This 277-nucleotide ribosomal RNA is filed under the name uncultured eukaryote. Its description in RNAcentral is "partial 18S ribosomal RNA". It matches the Rfam family "Eukaryotic small subunit ribosomal RNA", at positions 23 to 280 of the family's 1831-position model. The record is from RNAcentral.
UGUCAUAUGCUUGUCUUAAAGACUAAGCCAUGCAUGUCUAAGUAUAAGCGUAUUAUACAGCGAGACUGCGGAUGGCUCAUUAAACCAGUUACAAUUUUAUUUGAUCAUAACGUUAUCUACUCGGAUAACCUUGCUAACGCAUGGCUAAUACGUGCUAAAAGCCCCGACUUCCGGAAGGGGUGCAUUUAUUAGUCACAAAACCAGCGCAAGGUGGAGUCGAAAGAUUUCGCUUUGGUUGCUUGGUGAAUCAUAAUAACUUAGCUGAUCGCAUGGCCUU